GGGCCCAUAGAUCAGCGGAAGAUCGCCGCCUUCGCAAGGCGGAGGCCGCGGGUUCAAAAAUCCCUCGGGGACAA
RNAcentral lists this transfer RNA (74 nucleotides) under Candidatus Proteinoplasmatales archaeon SG8-5. Its description in RNAcentral is "Euryarchaeota archaeon SG8-5 tRNA-Ala". It matches the Rfam family "tRNA". Rfam says of the family: Transfer RNA (tRNA) molecules are approximately 80 nucleotides in length. The record is from RNAcentral. Lineage: Archaea; Methanobacteriati; Methanobacteriota; Candidatus Proteinoplasmatales.